RNAcentral lists this long non-coding RNA (2944 nucleotides) under Eucalyptus grandis. Its description in RNAcentral is "long non-coding RNA (EGRA_LNC000675)". Lineage: Eukaryota; Viridiplantae; Streptophyta; Magnoliopsida; Myrtales; Myrtaceae. The record is from RNAcentral.
ACAUACUCUUAAGGGAUGUGCGAGCUAUUUACCAAAUAUAGUCCCAUUUCUCCAUGCUUAGAACUUCACAGAAACUCGAGACCUCCAUCCAUCUGCGGUAAUCAACCUAUUGACUUGAGGGCCAACAUGCACAUCGAAGGUGCUAUGUCAAGAACUCACUGAAAGAAAGAAAACAAAGUUGAUCAGGAAACUAAGCCAAGUCUAGAAUGAAGCUAAAAACAGAUCGAAUUGAGACGAGAGUGAUGGUGAUCUUACAAUGAUGACCAGCGUGGGUGAGAUCUAUAAAGGUCUUGGGACUGCUGAAGGGAUGACUUGGCCCAUCGUCUGUUGUAUUUCUCGCCAGGAACCAUGCUUAACAGACCUCCGUCCAUCCGCAGUAAUUAACCUAUUGACUUGAAGGCCAGCAUGCACAUCCAAGGUGCUAUGUCAAGAACCUACUUGGAGAAAGACAGCGACCUAGAACCAAGUUUUCUAUAGAGUUAUUCUUGUGCAUUCUGGCAGGUGUUGCCAAGCAUAAAGGUAGACGGCUUUCUUCGGAAAAUGUUUUGCAUCAGCUUUGUGAAUCCCAGCCAUGACUUCUUAAGAUAACUAAAGAAUGGCUUACUUGAUACGGGUAUUAACUUCACCAACCAACCAAUUGGCCAAGAUGCUGCCGCCAGCAGAAUGCAAGCCGCCCAUUGCCACCAAUUUAGUCUCUCGGUAUCGGCAAACUUCUUCAGAAACUCCACCAUAAUCACUUGAAGCACAAUCGUAAUCCCAAUAAUUGCAAUAAAUAAGUGAUUCUUAUGAAUGCCUUUGAAUACAUUCUGCUUCUCUAAGCUCCUUGAGUUGAAUUCAUUAAAAACUUGGCAAAGCACGAAAAUAUUGAAAAUUAAAGUAUCAUUCACCCCUGCACUGACAUUGAAUAUGGACUCGCCCCUGAAUUGCAGGGUCAGGAGGACUGCUAUCUGGUAAAGUGCUUGGGCUAGGAGAUUCCUCCACAUCACAUUGGUUAUGAGUGGUUCUGUACGACCUACAGGUGAUUUCUCCAUCAAUUCAUCGCUUGGUCGCUCUGUAGCGAGGGCAAGAGCACCUAGUGUGUCCAUGAUGAGAUUUACCCAUAGUAAUUGCACUGCAGUUAAAGGAACCUCACCUGCUGAAACUGCUGCAAUGAAAUUAAUUACCAAAGCAGCAACAUUUACCGUUAGUUGAAACUGUAUGAAUUUCUGGAUAUUGUUGUAAACACAUCGCCCCCAUCUUAAUACCGUCACAAGGGAGGUGAAAUUGUCAUCCAAUAUGACAAUGUCGGAACUCUCUUUGGCAACCUCAGUUCCUUGAAUGCCCAUGGAAAGUCCAAUAUCUGCUUCUUUUAGUGCUGGUGCAUCAUUUGUACCAUCUCCGGUGACCGCGACCACAUGGCCCUUAUUUUUCAGGCACUGCACCAUCAGCAACUUGUCGAAAGGGGAAGACCUAGCCAUAACACGGAUUUGAUUGACUUUUUGCAUUCUCUCAUCGUCGGUGUAGUUUCGAAACUCUGAACCCUCCACCACCUCUAUGCCAUGAUUUUCAGUAUCUCGACCAAGAAUCCCGCACUCAAUCGCAAUUGCUUUUGCUGUGAAGGCAUUAUCUCCAGUGAUCAUUUUUAUGUCCACUCCAGCUGCUAAACAAGUUUCUACAGCUUUCUUGGCCCCUGGUCGGCACGGGUCCUUGAUGCCAACUAUUCCUAGUAGUGUCAAGCCAUCUUCGCGCAGCAUUCUCUUGUCCUUCUCAUCGUAUUGGAAUCCACCGUCCCUGGCUUGCUUGUAAGCAAAAGCAAUGCAUCUGAGGCUACUAGCUGCCAUACCUUGGAUUAUUUUCUCAAAAUUUCUUCUUGCAGCAUCGUCCAUGCAUUGUAUGUUACCAUCAAUUUGAUAGUAAGUUGAGCACAUGGCUAGAAUCAUCUCGGCAGCUCCUUUCCAAUGCACAUACAUGGUGGCAUCGCUCUUCUCAUUUAUGAGGACGCCACUGCGUUUCUUUUCUGAGUUGAAAGUUUCGACAUAAAGAAUGUUGUAUUUCUUCUUGAUUUCUUCCAUUUGCAUAUUCAAUGAAUAGAAAGCCCAAGAAAGAAUUGCUUUUUCAGUAGGACUACCAGAAAUUUCGGGUUCAGCUACUGAUGAAGGCAUAAACACACUACCUGUAGUGUUUAGUCCAACAGCUUGAUGGAAUAGCUUAACAACAUCGGGGGCAAUUAUGCUGUCGUGAUCUUCUCCAAUGGAUUCUUCCCCCAACCAAAAUUGAGUUACCUUCAUCUUAUUCAACGUUAGUGUGCCGGUCUUGUCCGUACAGAUUACAGUGGCCGAGCCCAUGGUCUCGCAAGCAGAAAGUUUUCUGACCAUCGCCUGGUCCGCCAUCAUCCUCUUCAUGGAAUAUGCCAACGUGAGCGUUACGGCCAGGGGCAAGCCUUCAGGGAUUGCCACCACGACUAUCGUGACAGCAGCGGCAACAAUUUGUACGACCGCAUUCAAUAUGUCAUCCGUACUAGUUUUGCUACCAUUGUACUCCUUAUUUCCUUCCUCAUCUUUAGUGUUCCCAGUAAAAUAACGGACUAACAGCACAACAAGGACUAGAAAGGCUACAGCGAGGCCUACCUUUCCGAUGGAAGAGGUUAGUUUGUCUAACCGAGCUUGCAAUGGCGUUCUUUCAUUUGAAUCUCCAGAUAUGGAGCUCAUCAUCUCGCCCCACGCAGUGUUCAUUCCGACUGACACCACGAGCAUCCUAGCGUAUCCAUCAACCACCUUAGAGCCGGAAAAUAAGAAUGGAUUCCGAUCCGGAUCGAUUUCAACAUGGUCGCUCUCUCCUGUCAUGCUCGACUCAUCAAUUUGCAAGGAAUGGCCGCCCAAGAAUAACCCAUCCGCAGGAAUCUGGUCGCCAAUAGUUAGCAAGACGACAUCCCCGACCACCACGUCAAAAAUGGAAGUCUGUUGAG